This 1108-nucleotide long non-coding RNA is filed under the name Linum usitatissimum (flax). RNAcentral's name for it is "long non-coding RNA (LUSI_LNC007129)". The record is from RNAcentral. Lineage: Eukaryota; Viridiplantae; Streptophyta; Magnoliopsida; Malpighiales; Linaceae.
UAGGAAACCUACCCUCUGCAGCCUCUUUCUUCUUUUUAGCCUUGAGCUUGAAACAGUCUUCAAUGACAUGAUUGUCCUUUUUACAGUAUCUGCAAAACUUCUUUCCACCAUCACCUGGCACUGCAAAAGCCACGGGAUUGGAUUCACCCUUCUGCACUCCAGAAUGUCCUUUCAACUUUUCUUCAUGCUAUAGUGCAUUGUUGUAAGCAUCAAUCACACUAGGCAGCGGACGCAUCAUUAAUAUCUGAGUUUUUACAACAUCAUACUCAUCAUUGAGUCCUCUCAGAAAACGAAUCAGAUAAUCCGUCUCUUGUUUAGUCUGAAAUGCCACAACUGCUGGGCACGGUAAGGGGUUUCCAGGUGCACAGGUACAUGGGACUAUGGGUGAGAACUGUGAAUAUUCCUCCCAUAACCCUUUUAUCGUGGUAUAGUGCUGAGAGACAGUACGAGUGCCCUGCUUACAAGCGUGGAUUUCAUCCUGCAAGUUGGCUAAACAUAUAGCAUUUCCCACUCCAAAUCGAGUUUUUAGUUCAUCCCACAGAUUUUUAGCUAUCUCAUGAUUCAUAACACUCCUUUUAAUCUCACUAUCAAGUGUAUUAAGAAUCCAACACAGCACAAGGGUAUUACAAGCAUCCCAAGAUAUGAAUCCGCUAUCACUAACAUCAGGUAUUUCUAUAGAUCCAUCGACGAAACCCAGCUUGUGCUUCGUUAUGAAUCCGCUGUCACUAAUAUCAGGUAUUUCUAUAGAUCCAUCGACGAAACCCAGCUUGUGCUUCGUUUUAAGUGCAAAACGCAAAGAUCGAUACCAGAUCUGGUAAUUUGUUCCAUCCAGUACGACAUUAGAUAUAGACUGAGACAGAUUCUCAUUGGGGUUCAAAUAUAGAGGGUUACCAAACUGUAUUGGCGAUGGAUUCCUGCUGACAUUGAUGAUAUCGUCUGUCUCUUCUUCAUCUUCAUUGGGGAAGUUCCCGAAGGUAACUCCCACUGAUCCUCGUCCUCUACCCGCAGAUCUCUGCGACGGUGAAGUAAGAUCGACCAUCGCUCAGUAUGCGACGAUUCUAAGCUCUGAUACCAUGUUAAACUCGAGAAGGAGGGAGUGGAAAUGGCG